AGCUUGCUCCCGGAUGUUAGCGGCGGACGGGUGAGUAACACGUGGGUAACCUGCCUGUAAGACUGGGAUAACUCCGGGAAACCGGAGCUAAUACCGGAUAGUUCCUUGAACCGCAUGGUUCAAGGAUGAAAGACGGUUUCGGCUGUCACUUACAGAUGGACCCGCGGCGCAUUAGCUAGUUGGUGGGGUAAUGGCUCACCAAGGCGACGAUGCGUAGCCNACCUGAGAGGGUGAUCGGCCACACUGGNNACUGAGGCACGGCCCAGACUCCUACGGGAGGCAGCAGUAGGGAAUCUUCCGCAAUGGACGAAAGUCUGACAGAGCAACGCCGCGUGAGUGAUGAAGGUUUUCGGAUCGUAAAGCUCUGUUGAUAGGGAAGAACAAGUGCGAGAGUAACUGCUCGCACCUUUACGGUACCUAACCAGAAAGCCACGGCUAACUACGUGCCAGCAGCCGCGGUAAUACGUAGGUGGCAAGCGUUGUCCGGAAUUAUUGGGCGUAAAGGGCUCGCAGGCGGUUUCUUAAGUCUGAUGUGAAAGCCCCCGGCUCAACCGGGGAGGGUCAUUGGAAACUGGGAAACUUGAGUGCAGAAGAGGAGAGUGGAAUUCCACGUGUAGCGGUGAAAUGCGUAGAGAUGUGGAGGAACACCAGUGGCGAAGGCGACUCUCUGGUCUGUAACUGACGCUGAGGAGCGAAAGCGUGGGGAGCGAACAGGAUUAGAUACCCUGGUAGUCCACGCCGUAAACGAUGAGUGCUAAGUGUUAGGGGGUUUCCGCCCCUUAGUGCUGCAGCUAACGCAUUAAGCACUCCGCCUGGGGAGUACGGUCGCAAGACUGAAACUCAAAGGAAUUGACGGGGGCCCGCACAAACGAUGGAUCAUGUGGUUUAAUUCUAAACAACGCGAACAACCUUACCAGGUCUUGACGUCCUCUUAAAA
This 937-nucleotide ribosomal RNA is filed under the name Bacillus zhangzhouensis. RNAcentral's name for it is "bacterial SSU rRNA". It matches the Rfam family "Bacterial small subunit ribosomal RNA", at positions 77 to 997 of the family's 1533-position model. The record is from RNAcentral. Lineage: Bacteria; Bacillati; Bacillota; Bacilli; Caryophanales; Bacillaceae.